RNAcentral lists this ribosomal RNA (1587 nucleotides) under Ligilactobacillus salivarius. RNAcentral's name for it is "bacterial LSU rRNA". It matches the Rfam family "Bacterial large subunit ribosomal RNA", at positions 1 to 1581 of the family's 2925-position model. The record is from RNAcentral. Lineage: Bacteria; Bacillati; Bacillota; Bacilli; Lactobacillales; Lactobacillaceae.
UUAGGUUAAGUUAUUAAGGGCGUAUGGUGGAUGCCUUGGCACUAGGAGCCGAUGAAGGACGUGACUAACUGCGAUAUGCUUCGGGGAGUUGUAAGUAAACUAUGAUCCGGAGAUUUCCGAAUGGGGAAACCUAACAGGUUUUACCGCCUGUUAUCACUAAGUGAAUUCAUAGCUUAGUUGAAGGUAGACGUGGGGAACUGAAACAUCUAAGUACCCACAGGAAGAGAAAGAAAUUCGAUUCCCUCAGUAGCGGCGAGCGAACCGGGAAGAGCCCAAACUAAGAAGCUUGCUUCUUAGGGUUGUAGGACUGAACAUCUGAGUUACCAAGAAAUGAAGUAGUUGAAUAAUCUGGGAAGAUUAGCCAAAGAGAGUGAUAGCCUCGUAAGCGAAACUUCGUUUCCUCAGUUCAGGAUCCUGAGUACGGCGGAACACGUGAAACUCCGUCGGAAUCCGGGAGGACCAUCUCCCAAGGCUAAAUACUACCUAGUGACCGAUAGUGAACCAGUACCGUGAGGGAAAGGUGAAAAGCACCCCGGGAGGGGAGUGAAAUAGUUCCUGAAACCAUAUGCCUACAAGUAGUCAGAGCUCGUUAAUGAGUGAUGGCGUGCCUUUUGUAGAAUGAACCGGCGAGUUACGUUAGCGUGCGAGGUUAAGGAGGAAAGUCCGGAGCCGUAGCGAAAGCGAGUCUGAAUAGGGCGAGAUAGUACGUUGACGUAGACCCGAAACCAGGUGACCUACCCAUGUCCAGGUUGAAGGUGCGGUAAAACCGCACUGGAGGACCGAACCCGUGUAUGUUGAAAAAUGCUGGGAUGAGGUGUGGGUAGAGGUGAAAUUCCAAACGAACUUGGAGAUAGCUGGUUCUCUCCGAAAUAGCUUUAGGGCUAGCCUCGGAGUUAAGAAUCGUGGAGGUAGAGCACUGUUUGGACUAGGGGCCCGUCUUGGGUUACUGAAUUCAGAUAAACUCCGAAUGCCACAGAUUUAUAUCCGGGAGUCAGACUGCGAGUGAUAAGAUCCGUAGUCGAAAGGGAAACAGCCCAGACCACCGAUUAAGGUCCCAAAAUAUGUGUUAAGUGGAAAAGGAUGUGGAAUUGCAUAGACAACUAGGAUGUUGGCUUAGAAGCAGCCACCAUUUAAAGAGUGCGUAAUAGCUCACUAGUCGAGUGAUCCUGCGCCGAAAAUGUAACGGGGCUAAACACAUUACCGAAAUCGUGGAUGUACCGUAAGGUACAUGGUAGGAGAGCGUUCUAAGGACGGCGAAGCUAGACCGUAAGGACUGGUGGAGUGCUUAGAAGUGAGAAUGCCGGUAUGAGUAGCGAAAGAUCAGUGAGAAUCUGGUCCACCGUAUGACUAAGGUUUCCUGGGGAAGGCUCGUCCUCCCAGGGUUAGUCGGGACCUAAGCCGAGGCCGAGAGGCGUAGGCGAUGGAUAACAGGUUGAGAUUCCUGUACUGGUUAAACUUGUUUGAACAAUGGAGGGACGCAGGAGGCUAUCGAUGCGUACUGUUGGAUAUGUACGUUCAAGCAAUAAGUCUGUAGAUGAGUCAAAUGCUUAUCUACUUAAGGACAAGUUGUGAUGAGGAGCGAAAUUU